This 258-nucleotide long non-coding RNA is filed under the name Lathyrus oleraceus (garden pea). RNAcentral describes it as "Pisum sativum (pea) long non-coding RNA (PSAT_LNC002748)". The record is from RNAcentral. Lineage: Eukaryota; Viridiplantae; Streptophyta; Magnoliopsida; Fabales; Fabaceae.
GUCAACCUUCAUCCCAAAAAUCAAAUGCUAACAAUAACUUUAAGUCAUAAAAAUAAAAUCAAUAAAAAAAAGUGUGUUAAAAUGGACCAUUUAGAAUAAAUAAUUAAAAUAAAAUAUUAAUAUUAAAAAAAAUACGAAAAUAAAAAUUAUAUAAAAUUAAAUAAAACAUUAAGAAAAGUGAAAAAUAUUUUUGGGUAAUUUUAUGGACGAAGAAAAUAUUUUAAAUAAGAAAAAGAAAUAUGAAAAUGGAAGGAUUAA